UUUUGGUUCGCAUUAGCGAUAGGAAUGGCAUCCUUUUAUCCUGCAAAGGAUAAAAGAUAGAAUGCAUAGCGCGACCUCGU
This 80-nucleotide small RNA is filed under the name Flavobacterium sp. 9AF. Its description in RNAcentral is "Flavo-1 RNA". It matches the Rfam family "Flavo-1 RNA". Lineage: Bacteria; Pseudomonadati; Bacteroidota; Flavobacteriia; Flavobacteriales; Flavobacteriaceae. The record is from Rfam by way of RNAcentral.